CGAGUUCUGAUUAUUGAAAGGUGCUUGCAUCUUGAUUUAAUUUUGAACGAGUGGCGGACGGGUGAGUAACACGUGGGUAACCUGCCCUUAAGUGGGGGAUAACAUUUGGAAACAGAUGCUAAUACCGCAUAAAUCCAAGAACCGCAUGGUUCUUGGCUGAAAGAUGGCGUAAGCUAUCGCUUUUGGAUGGACCCGCGGCGUAUUAGCUAGUUGGUGAGGUAACGGCUCACCAAGGCAAUGAUACGUAGCCGAACUGAGAGGUUGAUCGGCCACAUUGGGACUGAGACACGGCCCAAACUCCUACGGGAGGCAGCAGUAGGGAAUCUUCCACAAUGGACGCAAGUCUGAUGGAGCAACGCCGCGUGAGUGAAGAAGGCUUUCGGGUCGUAAAACUCUGUUGUUGGAGAAGAAUGGUCGGCAGAGUAACUGUUGUCGGCGUGACGGUAUCCAACCAGAAAGCCACGGCUAACUACGUGCCAGCAGCCGCGGUAAUACGUAGGUGGCAAGCGUUAUCCGGAUUUAUUGGGCGUAAAGCGAGCGCAGGCGGUUUUUUAAGUCUGAUGUGAAAGCCCUCGGCUUAACCGAGGAAGUGCAUCGGAAACUGGGAAACUUGAGUGCAGAAGAGGACAGUGGAACUCCAUGUGUAGCGGUGAAAUGCGUAGAUAUAUGGAAGAACACCAGUGGCGAAGGCGGCUGUCUGGUCUGUAACUGACGCUGAGGCUCGAAAGCAUGGGUAGCGAACAGGAUUAGAUACCCUGGUAGUCCAUGCCGUAAACGAUGAAUGCUAGGUGUUGGAGGGUUUCCGCCCUUCAGUGCCGCAGCUAACGCAUUAAGCAUUCCGCCUGGGGAGUACGACCGCAAGGUUGAAACUCAAAGGAAUUGACGGGGGCCCGCACAAGCGGUGGAGCAUGUGGUUUAAUUCGAAGCAACGCGAAGAACCUUACCAGGUCUUGACAUCUUUUGAUCACCUGAGAGAUCAGGUUUCCCCUUCGGGGGCAAAAUGACAGGUGGUGCAUGGUUGUCGUCAGCUCGUGUCGUGAGAUGUUGGGUUAAGUCCCGCAACGAGCGCAACCCUUAUGACUAGUUGCCAGCAUUUAGUUGGGCACUCUAGUAAGACUGCCGGUGACAAACCGGAGGAAGGUGGGGAUGACGUCAAAUCAUCAUGCCCCUYAUGACCUGGGCUACACACGUGCUACAAUGGAUGGUACAACGAGUUGCGAGACCGCGAGGUCAAGCUAAUCUCUUAAAGCCAUUCUCAGUUCGGACUGUAGGCUGCAACUCGCCUACACGAAGUCGGAAUCGCUAGUAAUCGCGGAUCAGCACGCCGCGGUGAAUACGUUCCCGGGCCUUGUACACACCGCCCGUCACACCAUGAGAGUUUGUAACACCCGAAGCCGGUGGCGUAACCCU
RNAcentral lists this ribosomal RNA (1410 nucleotides) under Lacticaseibacillus rhamnosus. RNAcentral's name for it is "bacterial SSU rRNA". The record is from RNAcentral. Lineage: Bacteria; Bacillati; Bacillota; Bacilli; Lactobacillales; Lactobacillaceae.